This is a long non-coding RNA of Ficedula albicollis (Collared flycatcher), 2115 nucleotides long. Lineage: Eukaryota; Metazoa; Chordata; Aves; Passeriformes; Muscicapidae. The record is from Ensembl.
GGGGGGGGGGGGGGGGGGGGGGGGGGGGGGGGGGGGGGGGGGGGGGGGGGGGGGGGGGGGGGGGGGGGGCCGCCGCCCGAGUCUCCUCCUCCCGCUGCCCGGCCCCGCCUCGUUUGGGAUCCUGUGCCGGGACUGGGGUGUCGCCUGUCCCCUGUGUUGUCCCUCCAAGGGGCUCCUGGGCCCGCUGCUCUCCGACGGGGCCUCCGGGAAUCGGCCGGUGGUGCCCUGGCCCGGAGAGGGGUCACAGAAUCGUCGGAUCAGGAUGGUUUGUAUCGAAAGGGACCGUAAAGAUCACCUCGUUCCACCCCCACCGCCUCCUCUCUCUGGACUCGCUCCAGCAUCUCCGUGUCCGUGCUGUGCUGGGGUGCCCGGAGCUGGGUGCACUGUUCCGGGUGGGGCGGAAUCCCCGCCCUGGGCUCGCUGCCCGCGCUGCUGCUGGGGCAGCCAGGCUGUGGGUCCCUGCUCGGUGCCGUGAGCCCGACCCGAACCACCGAGCAGCCUGGGACAGUGCGUAUCGCCGGUGUGCUCCCGUCUGUCCCUCCCAGGCGGGGAGCGAGGCAGGGAGGCUCCCAGUGGACAAGGAUGGGGAGGAUGAGCCCCUCGUGCUUCCUCCGCUAACUUUUCCAUGGAAAGCAAAUUCCCCAGACGCUCCAAGCCUGUGGAGGUGGUGGCUUCAGGCAGAGCAUCAAAUGCUCCAACACUUUGGAUUUGACAUCUAUCAACUCUGCAGCUUGAUUACAGGAAUGCCCCUGGAUGCCUCCCCACUUGGAUCCCCUAAUUUGCUGUCUGAGACUGGGGCCAGGCUAGAGCUCCUCUGGGGUAAAAUACCUGGUGGGGUUGGGUGGGCACUGGGGCCUCAGCACAAACUACUCUCCAGGUUGCUCUGCCCAGUACAGUUGGAGCCUGAGUAUGCUUGGGCUCAAUAAUCUGUUUUGCCAAAAAAUGAAAAAGAAAGAUGGUAACAAAAACAAAGGCAGUUUCAUCAGAGCAACUGCAGUUUAAUAGCCUAAGGAAUUCUUAGAUUUCCACACGUGAAGUGAUUAAAAUACUAACACUACUCUGUUUAAAGACGAACAUCAGGAAAGGAGUGCUUUAAUCUGACAGUGAUAAUUGCUGUAGUUUGUCUAUGCUGCAAGGCUUUGGUGAGAGUUCAGCAUUCCAAUGUACUGGAACAAUAAAGAGACCUGAAGCAGAUCUUAAUAGGUCAAGUAUCUCUUGCUUUCCCUUUGUGUCUUGUCCUUGUAGCUGCUCAUUUCCAAGACACUGGCCUUCGUUUAGGUAUUCCUGUGAGUAUAAGGUCUGUACUGGUAUGAGAGCCUUGCUCAAGAAGCUGCUGCCAGCAGAAGCGUGAAUGCAGCUGCAGCUUCUCCAUCAGCUGUCCCAACAGCACCCUGCCCACGGGUCACAGCCUCGGGCCUGGGCAGCCUUUUGGAGCCAUUCCAAGCUGCAUGGCCACAGUGCAGGAAUGUGGUGAUUGUGGUGACAAAUCCUCCUUGCUGGGUUGUCUCCUCAGCGUGAGAGAUGAAGUGUCAGUAGUAGGUGCCAUCAGUGACUGCAGCUGUGGUGUCCGAGUUAGUACAGGCAAGAAUCCUGUUUGGUUCCCUGGCAUCAGUGGGACCUCAAACUGCUUUCCUGUUCUUCCUGAUGGUGCAUGUGAAAUUCCAUCUGUUCAAACAAUAUAACCACUGGUGUUGGCAGAAUUUUUACUUUGUCUUGCCUGUCUACUGUACAGAGUUCUUGCAGUGGGCACUGAGCAGGCGUGCCUGCAAUGCUGCUUUUCCUCUGACAUCCAGCUCCUGAGUGUCCAAACUGCCCUGAGAAAGGCAAGAGAUUUAACAGCUCACACAGUCUGCAACUUACAGCUCAAAUUUAGACAAAAGUGUGAGCAUAAGUACCUGUGGGAAUGCAUCCUUCAUGUCCAGUUUGAAAUGAGCCUUGGAAAAAUGCCAGCACCCAAGUGUGCACUCAGCCAGGCUCCAAUUUGCUCUGGAGUUUUUCUGUGCAGGUAACACUCAUUCUUCGGGUUUGAUAGAAUGACAGCAAUGUGAAAUCACCCAAAAGACUGGGGCUUGAAAGGCAGAUUCAAGGCAACUUUAAAAAAAAAAUGAAUUCCUA